Long non-coding RNA from Schistocerca cancellata (South American locust), 3684 nucleotides. RefSeq lists it as uncharacterized. Lineage: Eukaryota; Metazoa; Arthropoda; Insecta; Orthoptera; Acrididae. The record is from RefSeq and is a predicted model, not a curated record. The transcript has 6 exons.
AGAUUAAGAAUACUCGCAUGGAGUUGGAAACACUGCCGAGCAGCCCAGAUCAUUUUUACUCCCCUACUAUUUUCUUCCCUGCCCAUCCAGUCGACAAUCAUUGUCUUCAAUUCCCAAAAAUGAAAAAACUCGUUCUUGAUUUUAUAAGUUUUGUCUGUUUGUUGCUUGUGCGUAACUGUGGUGUUACUCUAUUUGAAUCUGAAGCAUAUUUUGAUAUGUAAUUGAUUCGGGAAACAGUUCCAAGAAUCCAAAUCUUUAACUGGUCCGUUGAUAAAUGAAUCUCCCGAAAUUGGUACGUUGCAUUAAGCUGUGGCGGGCCAGGGAUAGAGAAGACGACACGAGGUAUAAUGACGGAGAACCCACACGUAGUGUAACGGAGUGGUGCGAGAGGGCAGCAGCUGCCAGCGGCAUUACCAACCGCCGCAGACAGAUGGCAGGUCGAGUCACUGAAAUGCACGUUGAAGUAUGGUCCAUCAGCACCGCUUGCAUGUGACUGCAAUUAGUGACAUGUUCGCUUAAAGUAGUCAGUAUUGUGUGUUUUCGUGCUGAAUAAACCAACAGUGCUGUGCGUUUAGCUGUACUUUCGAAAUCAAGAAGAGAGGGAUGCAAUAAGAAGAAGAAUAUGGCUGAUGAACAUCUGCAGAGCUAACUGGCAGAACGCAAAGGCAACUGCAUUGUGUGAAAUGGGAGACAGUGCCUUGUCCCUCAUCAGGUUUCUCCAGCUUUUGGCUGUUGGCUGAAGGGGUGAAGUGCUCUGUCUGUUGGCAGGAAAUGCGAUUGAUGAAAGUUUCGUUGUUUUGGACCAUGGAUAGCUACAUGUGGAGGUGCCGUAGCGAUAACCUAUGGUGCUCUAUAAGGUGUACUUUUGAAGCCAAGAAGAGAGGGAAGCAGCGAUAAGAAGAAUAUGGCUGAUGAACAUCUGAAGAGCAAACAGCAUUGUGUUGAGCAGAAUAGACUUACACAAAUUCGGUGGACCAAAGGCUGCAGUUGGACUCUUCACUGAUGAUGAGAAAUGGAAAACAUCAGAGGGUCAGCCAGCAUGCAAGUGUUUCUCGCCUUUGAUAAGUUUGAUUGCUUUUUAAUCACUUUACCCCAGACGAGUUUGAAACCAACAGAACUGGUGGAGUGGUAAAACGUAAACCAAAUGCUGUGCCGACCAUAUUUGGUGACUGUAAGCCAACACUGGUACGCAAAGCUCAUGCUGAGAGGAAACCUGUUGGCUUCCUAGAGAAACGUACUGAGGAUACAGAGGUUGAAGAGCGUUCAAAUGUGACCAGUGACAUAAGUCCUGCAGAGAACUUGGGCACAACUGAAGAUGAAGUCACCACCCUGAAAAACCUAGUCCAACAGCUUCAGACUGGAAUUGAAGCUUUAAAGAGAAAACUCAACCUCUCUCAGAAAGGGAGAGGAGAGUGUAUUUAGGAAAAGACAACCUCAUUGCCAGUCUGCAUGGCUUAUUCAGUGCAGAUAUGUUUGCAGUAAGAACAAAGGGGACAUGCGGUGGAAACACUGCAGACAGGGCUAAAAAUUAGAGUAGCUUGUGGUGGUAUGGGGUACAAAGUCCUGCUGGAAAAUAAAUUACCAUUUCCUUCAGACAGAACCCCAAUAUGUUCGCUACAGAACAUCAAAUUUAGACCUUGUGUGCUGAGGGAGCUUGUGAGUUCCCUGAAAGUCAAGCUUUACCUCAUGUUACCAGAGCAAAAGCAUGCUGUUCUCAUGAUGUAUGAGGUUAGUAUCACUCCAUCAUUGGAAUGUGAUUGAAGCAUUGGCAGCGCUAUAGGAUACAACACCUCCAUCAAAUCUUGCCUUUGCAGCAACUAGAGCUUCUCAUGCAUUAAUUGUUAUGCUGGGUGGUAUUACCUCAAGAUGGAAACAAACAACAGUUUACCAUUACACAGGGCCAUCUUUUUCCAUUUUUCAUGCCUAAAACAUCAUAAUAAGCACUAUUAAAGAAUCUUAGGCACUUGGUAUCAAUGUUCACUAUGUUGUGUCAGAUAGGGGGGGGGGGGGGCAAAAUCUAGUUGUAUGGUGAGAAUUUGGAAUUGUUGUGGCUGGUUUUCAGAAUUAUUCAAUUUCUGCCAGUAUCCUUGUGAUAAGAGGAAGCUAAUUUCAUCGCAAAUACACUACCAUUUUGAGAAAUAUGAGGAACCACUUAGUCAAUGGGCAAUCAGUCUUCCUUUCACAAAAUGUUAUUGAGGAACAUGAUCUACCUGGUAAUGAGGUACAUAUAAAUCGUGUAAAACAGUUGCAUGAGAUAGACAACGGCUUAAGUCUUAAACUAGCACCACAACUGUGUUAGGGUGUUUGGUGCCAAACCGUUAUGAUAAAAUGAAAGUUGGCUUAGCUACUGCCCUAAUUAACUGAAAGACUGCAGCAGCCAUUGAGUACGUGUUCAAGACAGUGAAACUGCAGAAAAAAAGUUUUAGCCACAGUGUGGUUUCUAAAACACAUUCAUAAAUGGGUUGCCUCAUCACAUCUAGAACAGCAGUUAUGGCUCUGAGUCAUUCUGAUGAACGAACAUAAGGCGAGGCUCUCUGUCGUCUUGAGGACACUCUGUGUUAAUUUAAAAACUUGGAAAUUGGCCUGAAGUGUGCCUGGAAACUAGUUCAGUCUGGUGUGGUUUUGACAGCUGGAGGUAUUUUGGAAUUGUAGGACACAUUCCUGAAUGAGAAGAAAUUUAAAUUUUUGCUAAUAAGUAGAUUUACACAAGGUAUCUUGGAAAAUCUGUUUGCAAUGCUCCACUUCACAAAUCCACUACCAACACUACGAGAAGCGAAUUCAGCACUGAGGGUUAUUACUCUUCCUCAGUUCUGCCACUGGUAAUAAUGAGACUUAGGACAGUAGUUUCCAGACAGAACUAGUGAGGGAAUCUGUAAGUGAAGAUGAGGGUAAGUGUGCUGAAAAAGUUGAUGAGCCACUUUGUAAUAUGGUGUGUGAUUAUGAGCAACAGUAUCUAUAAUAUUUAUGUAGUAACACUUUCAGGCAAGAUGUGAAGCAUCAUGCACUUUGAAAGUUUUGUGAGGAGGGCCCAACUGCAUCUAGAGAAAAUGUCUAUACGUCUGUGAACAUGCUUUUACAUCUAAAAUCCUUUACAGAGAUCUCACUUAUUGAGCCAUCAAGUGAGGUUUUCUGUGUAUUUCAAACGGCAGAGAUGUAUUUGAGAAGCAACAAGAAGAUAUUACUCUUACGUGAAUGGUUGCUCUCUGAUAUAGCCACUUCAGUGGUUGCAUCAGUGAAGGAGAAAGUAGUUUUCCCAGUCUGCCACAGUGUACAGGAGAAAAUAAUUCAUAGUUUCUUGGCAACAAGAGUUCAUCUGCUUCGAAUGGAGGGAAAUAAAAAAUAUCAGCGUCUAGUGACACAAGGCAGUAGAACAUGGACAUGAGAAAAUUAGUGCAGAAACUGUGACUUCCAAAAUCACUUUUUUAUAAAUGAUUUGAAAAACUGACAUUCAAACUUCUUUUGGUUGUCAUAAACACUUUGGCACAAAAUGUCGUUAACAUGUUCUCUUCAGAUGAUCUCAUUUAUGUUUAAUUUACAGUGAUUUUUAUUUUUGUUCCAUGUUUCUUUCUCUGAGUAUGGAAUGUUCUUAUUAUCUCAUGUAAUAUUUGUUACAUUUUGCAAGUAGACUAUUUCCCUGUCAAGGGUUUGGAAUGAUGCAAUAUAAAUAAAAACUUUGUCCUUCAA